AACGAACGCUGGCGGCAUGCCUAACACAUGCAAGUCGAACGAGACCUUCGGGUCUAGUGGCGCACGGGUGCGUAACGCGUGGGAACCUGCCCUUAGGUUCGGAAUAACUCCCCGAAAGGGGUGCUAAUACCGGAUAAUGUCUUCGGACCAAAGAUUUAUCGCCUUUGGAUGGGCCCGCGUUGGAUUAGCUAGUUGGUAGGGUAAAAGCCUACCAAGGCGACGAUCCAUAGCUGGUCUGAGAGGAUGAUCAGCCACACUGGGACUGAGACACGGCCCAGACUCCUACGGGAGGCAGCAGUGGGGAAUAUUGGACAAGGGGCGAAAGCCUGAUCCAGCAAUGCCGCGUGAGUGAUGAAGGCCUUAGGGUUGUAAAGCUCUUUUACCCGGGAUGAUAAUGACAGUACCGGGAGAAUAAGCUCCGGCUAACUCC
This 430-nucleotide ribosomal RNA is filed under the name uncultured bacterium. RNAcentral describes it as "partial 16S ribosomal RNA". It matches the Rfam family "Bacterial small subunit ribosomal RNA", at positions 29 to 504 of the family's 1533-position model. The record is from RNAcentral.